Molecule: non-coding RNA, 74 nt
Organism: Pangasius djambal
Lineage: Eukaryota; Metazoa; Chordata; Actinopteri; Siluriformes; Pangasiidae
Source: the annotation of a GenBank genome assembly
UGCAUACUGUUGGAGUGGUUAAGACGUUGGACUUCUGAUCGGAAGGUUGAGAGUUCAAAUCCCACCAUGACCAA